Molecule: ribosomal RNA, 503 nt
Filed under: Cryptocephalus duplicatus
Lineage: Eukaryota; Metazoa; Arthropoda; Insecta; Coleoptera; Chrysomelidae
Description: partial 12S ribosomal RNA
Source: RNAcentral
GCAUACUCUAGAUCCCCAUUCAUCAUAUUAUAAUUAAUAAAAUUACUACCAAAUCCUAAUAAAAUAAAUUUUACAAAUUUAAGCUCAUUAAUGUAACCCAUCUCUUCUUUUAAAAGCUGCACCUUGAUUUGAUCUAAAAUAAAAUUUUAAUUAAAGAAAAUUAUAAUUCUCCAGAAAUAUUCAUUUCAACAACGAUAUACAAGCAAUAUAAAAGUCAAAUAAAUUGUGGAUUAUCAAUUAUAGGACAGGUUCCUCUGGUGGGUUUGAGUACCGCCAAGAUAUUUAAUUUUCAAGAACUUAACUAAUACUAAUCCGGUUUUAAUGACUACGAUAUUAAUAACAGGGUAUCUAAUCCUGGUUUAUAAUAAUAUUUUUCUAGAUCAUUUAAUAAUACAUUAUUAACUUAUAUAUAUUAAAAUUUCACCUAUCAAUAUAACUAUUUCAAAUCAUCAAUCAAUUAACUAAAACCAUAAAAAUUAAGUAGCACCUUCUGUAUAACCGCA